This 1332-nucleotide ribosomal RNA is filed under the name uncultured bacterium. RNAcentral describes it as "bacterial SSU rRNA". It matches the Rfam family "Bacterial small subunit ribosomal RNA", at positions 97 to 1465 of the family's 1533-position model. The record is from RNAcentral.
GGCAGACGGGUGAGUACGCGUGGGAACAUACCUUCUGGUUCGGAACAACACAGGGAAACUUGUGCUAAUACCGGAUAAGCCCUUACGGGGAAAGAUUUAUCGCCGAAAGAUUGGCCCGCGUCUGAUUAGCUAGUUGGUAGGGUAAUGGCCUACCAAGGCGACGAUCAGUAGCUGGUCUGAGAGGAUGAUCAGCCACAUUGGGACUGAGACACGGCCCAAACUCCUACGGGAGGCAGCAGUGGGGAAUAUUGGACAAUGGGGGCAACCCUGAUCCAGCCAUGCCGCGUGAGUGAUGAAGGCCCUAGGGUUGUAAAGCUCUUUUGUGCGGGAAGAUAAUGACGGUACCGCAAGAAUAAGCCCCGGCUAACUUCGUGCCAGCAGCCGCGGUAAUACGAAGGGGGCUAGCGUUGCUCGGAAUCACUGGGCGUAAAGGGUGCGCAGGCGGGUCUUUAAGUCAGGGGUGAAAUCCUGGAGCUCAACUCCAGAACUGCCUUUGAUACUGAAGAUCUUGAGUUCGGGAGAGGUGAGUGGAACUGCGAGUGUAGAGGUGAAAUUCGUAGAUAUUCGCAAGAACACCAGUGGCGAAGGCGGCUCACUGGCCCGAUACUGACGCUGAGGCACGAAAGCGUGGGGAGGAAACAGGAUUAGAUACCCUGGUAGUCCACGCCGUAAACGAUGAAUGCCAGCCGUUAGUGGGUUUACUCACUAGUGGCGCAGCUAACGCUUUAAGCAUUCCGCCUGGGGAGUACGGUCGCAAGAUUAAAACUCAAAGGAAUUGACGGGGGCCCGCACAAGCGGUGGAGCAUGUGGUUUAAUUCGACGCAACGCGCAGAACCUUACCAGCCCUUGACAUGUCCAGGACCGGUCGCAGAGAUGUGACCUUCUCUUCGGAGCCUGGAACACAGGUGCUGCAUGGCUGUCGUCAGCUCGUGUCGUGAGAUGCUGGGUUAAGUCCCGCAACGAGCGCAACCCCCGUCCUUAGUUGCUACCAUUUAGUUGAGCACUCUAAGGAGACUGCCGGUGAUAAGCCGCGAGGAAGGUGGGGAUGACGUCAAGUCCUCAUGGCCCUUACGGGCUGGGCUACACACGUGCUACAAUGGCGGUGACAAUGGGAUGCUAAGGGGCGACCCUUCGCAAAUCUCAAAAAGCCGUCUCAGUUCGGAUUGGGCUCUGCAACUCGAGCCCAUGAAGUUGGAAUCGCUAGUAAUCGUGGAUCAGCACGCCACGGUGAAUACGUUCCCGGGCCUUGUACACACCGCCCGUCACACCAUGGGAGUUGGUUUUACCUGAAGGUAGUGCGCUAACCCGCAAGGGAGGCAGCUAACCACGUAG